This 707-nucleotide ribosomal RNA is filed under the name Salmonella enterica subsp. enterica serovar Infantis. RNAcentral describes it as "bacterial SSU rRNA". It matches the Rfam family "Bacterial small subunit ribosomal RNA", at positions 808 to 1515 of the family's 1533-position model. RNAcentral also lists the same sequence under 1 other name. Lineage: Bacteria; Pseudomonadati; Pseudomonadota; Gammaproteobacteria; Enterobacterales; Enterobacteriaceae. The record is from RNAcentral.
GAUGUCUACUUGGAGGUUGUGCCCUUGAGGCGUGGCUUCCGGAGCUAACGCGUUAAGUAGACCGCCUGGGGAGUACGGCCGCAAGGUUAAAACUCAAAUGAAUUGACGGGGGCCCGCACAAGCGGUGGAGCAUGUGGUUUAAUUCGAUGCAACGCGAAGAACCUUACCUGGUCUUGACAUCCACAGAAGAAUCCAGAGAUGGAUUUGUGCCUUCGGGAACUGUGAGACAGGUGCUGCAUGGCUGUCGUCAGCUCGUGUUGUGAAAUGUUGGGUUAAGUCCCGCAACGAGCGCAACCCUUAUCCUUUGUUGCCAGCGGUCCGGCCGGGAACUCAAAGGAGACUGCCAGUGAUAAACUGGAGGAAGGUGGGGAUGACGUCAAGUCAUCAUGGCCCUUACGACCAGGGCUACACACGUGCUACAAUGGCGCAUACAAAGAGAAGCGACCUCGCGAGAGCAAGCGGACCUCAUAAAGUGCGUCGUAGUCCGGAUUGGAGUCUGCAACUCGACUCCAUGAAGUCGGAAUCGCUAGUAAUCGUGGAUCAGAAUGCCACGGUGAAUACGUUCCCGGGCCUUGUACACACCGCCCGUCACACCAUGGGAGUGGGUUGCAAAAGAAGUAGGUAGCUUAACCUUCGGGAGGGCGCUUACCACUUUGUGAUUCAUGACUGGGGUGAAGUCGUAACAAGGUAACCGUAGGGGAACCUGC